Molecule: ribosomal RNA, 460 nt
Filed under: uncultured bacterium
Lineage: Bacteria
Description: partial 16S ribosomal RNA
Rfam family: Bacterial small subunit ribosomal RNA
Source: RNAcentral
CCUACGGGUGGCAGCAGUGAGGAAUAUUGGUCAAUGGACGAGAGUCUGAACCAGCCAAGUAGCGUGAAGGAUGACUGCCCUAUGGGUUGUAAACUUCUUUUAUAUGGGAAUAAAAUGUUCCACGUGUGGGAUUUUGUAUGUACCAUAUGAAUAAGGAUCGGCUAACUCCGUGCCAGCAGCCGCGGUAAUACGGAGGAUCCGAGCGUUAUCCGGAUUUAUUGGGUUUAAAGGGAGCGUAGGUGGAUUGUUAAGUCAGUUGUGAAAGUUUGCGGCUCAACCGUAAAAUUGCAGUUGAAACUGGCAGUCUUGAGUACAGUAGAGUUGGGCGGAAUUCGUGGUGUAGCGGUGAAAUGCUUAGAUAUCACGAAGAACUCCGAUUGCGAAGGCAGUUCACUGGACUGCAACUGACACUGAGGCUCGAAAGUGUGGGUAUCAAACAGGAUUAGAUACACUGGUAGUC